GCGGAAGUGGCGGAAUUGGUAGACGCACCAGAUUUAGGUUCUGGCGCCGCAAGGUGUGAGAGUUCAAGCCUCUCCUUCCGCACCA
This 85-nucleotide transfer RNA is filed under the name Vibrio parahaemolyticus. RNAcentral's name for it is "tRNA-Leu". It matches the Rfam family "tRNA". From Rfam's summary of the family: Transfer RNA (tRNA) molecules are approximately 80 nucleotides in length. Their secondary structure includes four short double-helical elements and three loops (D, anti-codon, and T loops). Lineage: Bacteria; Pseudomonadati; Pseudomonadota; Gammaproteobacteria; Vibrionales; Vibrionaceae. The record is from RNAcentral.